UUGUUUCUAGAAUGUUCUCUCCACGUCAUCCGUGCCGUCGACCAGGCACAAAGGACGUCUGCGAGCGGCCAUAUUGCCUUCAUUUGCCAUCCACUCAUUGCAGUAGUGAGGUCGUGUGCUGAUUUCUCUCUUUUUUUUUUGAACAGUUCAAAUUUCUCUCAACGCCAUGGACAAUUUUGCAUUUCAAGCAUCGCCUUACACGGCCAGUGACGACGGCGGUUCGCCACCCAUGAAAUUCGUUCAACAUUUUAUAUUUGAACGAAUGAGAACCGAAGCACUACUGGAUUCUCAUAACAACCAUGCCAAUUUCGAUACUUGAAAAUUCCAAAAUAUCUUAUUAUGUGAUUUUUGUUUAAUCGUGAUGAUUGAAUUAUGUAAGGCAUGGAAAUAACUACAGUACUUUGGGAUGUACUCUAAAGGAGGUAAAGUAACAUGUUGAUCUGAUCUUUUAAUGUAAUAAUGCUAGUGGGACGAUAGCGUGCUGGGGCUGUAAUUUGAGUAAGAAUAAGAGGAAUGAGGGUGUAAUCAUUACACAAUUACUUGACCAAUUGGAUUGGUCUUAAAUAUUGUGAUAUCAUCAACACGUACAUCAUACUUACUAUCCAACCACCGUAUCUACUUACGUACAAGUGGGCACUUUUCCUCCAAAGUUAAACCCUGCUAUAGUCAAAUUAAUCUCGGGUUUCGUAGGAGGUUGUUUAUUCGUCGUAUAUAGUUACAGUUAGCCGUGUUGAAAAUUGAAGAGCAAAAAUUAUCUCGUUUGACCAUUCCACUGUUGAAAGGUGGCCUUAGGAUGCGAGCUUGUGCUUAAUCGACAGUUGUUAAGGAGUCGGAGAUAUAUUUAUGUUAUGGCUGGUGCGAAAGUGGAUAUAUAUAAAAAAAUCGUUAGAUGCAAUCGGACGUUUUGUAUCUGUUUAAGUUAUUAGCAAUCAAUUGAUGAGAAUUAACGGGUCCUCGUGAAAAUCAAAUCAGUUGCUGUAAACUCAUAACAUAUGUUAAUGUUGAAUUAUUAGUCUGCUAAGUAAUUGAAUUUGUUUAGGCUUUCUCGUUGCUAUGUAUUUUUUUUUAUCAACAAAUAACAAUUCUUAUAUACCUACUUAUUACUUACUGAAACAUAUAUAUUGAAAUAACAGAAACAUUUGACAAAAUAUAAUUAUAUUGUAAAUCUGCUUAAAUUCUUUGAAAGCAAUUUGUACGGACUCUAAUUAUAAAAUGUAAAUUAUGAGUAACUGUUCCAAACAAUGACUAUCUCUUAUUACUUGUCUUAUGCAGUUUGCUUUAACACACUGUAUUAGCGUUUUUUUGUUCUUUAUUAAAAUUAUUGCUUUAUAUAACUACUACAACUAGUAUAGUCUCUAUUAUUUCCUAACAAAUAUUUUACCCAUUACUCCGCCCUGAUAAUACUAAUAAGAAUAAUUGUAUUUCGUAUACUAAACCGUUAAAGUUCAAUAAUAAAUACUAAAUCUUUAUCUCAAAUAUGUCAUAGAUUUAUUCUUAAAGGUCAUUUAUACGUAUCUAACAGUAGAAAUAAAACUGGUUGAAGAAUUUCAACCUACAUUUUUUAAUUUAAUACAUAUAUUUUUAUUAUUAUAAAUACCUAUUGAAUGUACUCUCAAACGAAUUGUAGAGGUAAUUAAAAAAAACUUGUUUAUUAAUCAAAAAGGUAAACUGUUCCAUUUAUUGUAUUACUUGAUUCCAAACUUUUAAUGAAGGUAAUACUUAUAUCAUAUAACGUAAGUACCCAAAUAGUAGCAAAAUAAAAAAUUACUAUGAAUUUUUGAUCUUUGGCCCAAGAGUUAUGCUGAUCGUUGGCGAUAAUUCCAGUAAGUCUAAAUUAUAUUAAAAUAAAAUUUAUAUUUUUAGUUGAUAGUGUAGUUGAAAUUUCCAAAAAAAUAUUUUUAGGGAAGCUUUAGGCAGAUGUUAGUUUUUUAGGUGUACAAUUAAAAUUGGAAUAAAUAAAAUAAGUUAAAACUAAUUGUAUUCUAUAUGCUCGGAUGAAUAGAGUGUGAUGAAUUUAUAACAUAAUUGAGGUAUAUUGUAUAUGUUUAAUCGAGGAAAAUGUAUAAUAAUUUGUAUUUAUCGUUUAAUUAAUAUUGCAAAUAUAUUUCUUGGGUUUGCCUCAACUUCACUAUGACAAAACGACCAUAAUUGUCAUUUAGGUAGGUAGUACUGAAGUGAGAUAAAAUAAAUAAACUCUAUAAAAGCUUGGUGUAUGUUAACAAUUCUAGUGUAAAUUGAUUUUACCUGAUAGUAUUACUGCGCUAAGACAGUGUUCAUAAAAUUAUUGCAUAUGUAUUUGUGAUUAAAUAUUAGGAUUACUGAAGUUUACAUAUUGUUGAUCUGAUCUUGUUAAAACGUUUAGUUUAUUUUUUGUUCUGAUUUAUUUCGUGUAUGUUUUUUACCAUUAAUUUAUGAUUUUAACAGAUUUUAACAGAUAUAACGUUAUAUGUACUUAAUAGUUGAAUAUAAUUAGUUGAUUACAAUGAAUGCCUAUAUGUAUAAUAUGUAAUAGGGUGUUUCACUUACCAGUAUUGGGUUUAAAAAAAAACAAGCACUCGUGGUAAAACAAAUUGUCAAAGUAUUAUAUUAUUCUUAUUUUCGUAUUAUUGAAUUAGGAAGGUUUUUUAACGUAGGAAUUCGACAUAGAAUUCAUUAUGAAUUAAAAUAUACUUGAAAAUCAAAAUAAUAACCAUAAAAAUCAUUAAAAAUAUUGAAUUCAAUAUAUUUGUUUUCAUUGAUUAUUUUAAUGCAUUAAAAAACUAUUUUUUGUUGCAAGAUGUUAGAUUGACACACUUAAGAAUUGGAUACAUUUAAAAACAAUUCUGCUAUUGGUUAUUAAUCUAUUGGUUAUUUAAACAGGUUUAAAACAAGACAAUAUUUCAAAUUGGGAUGUUAAAUAAUUAGUAAUGUGGAAUGUCAAUAAAAUUUACAAAUAACAAUAAAUUGGAGUCUUAGGAAUAGGUAAUAAACCGUUAUCUUUUCGCUUAAUGUCUUCAAUAGUUUUUUUUCUGUUUUUUUCCAAAAACAACAUUAAUAUGAAAAUAUUGUAGUGUAGGUUUUGUGUAUUUACAAGUAAUUAAGUUACAAGUUAUUAAAUAACAAUUAUUAUUAAAUUUUAUAUGAUAAUGAACCAUAGCACAUAGAUAGGUAGAUAUAAUCCAUUGGAUUUCAAUUUUAACACGACUUAAUUUUUAAUUAGGUUGUCAACUUCCUCUGAAAUUUAAGUGUUUCUUGGACCUUUGUCAAUUUAAGAAUUUAAUGAUAACAUUUAGUUCUUCAAUAUAAUUUUUUAUAAAUUUAAUAUACCGAGUUAAGACGUAAAAUAACAAAUAAUUAUGAUACCAAAUGUGGACUAGAUAGUAUGUUAGAUAUUUAACUAAAUAACCAUUUAUUUAUUAAUCAUUAAUCAUGAAAGAACCUAGCAACGAUGUGUAGUAUGUUGCUUGUCUAUAUCUAAUCACAACACGAAUGGUUGCAUUUUUAAUCUGCUUUUACCUACUCCUGAUAUAAAAAAAAUGUCUAUAACUCUGUCACUGUCUGCUUACUUUUUAAUUGUUUCGUAUGAUUGUUGGAAAUUCUUAAUUAUUUAAAUGAUUACCAUUUGUCCUUGUAUUAUAGAGUUCCUCAGCGAGAAAUACGUUUGGUUACCAAAAUAUGUUUUGUAAACUUUACUUGUAAGACUUGUUGCACGCUUGAAAACAUUUUUGAUCAUUUUUGUUUGUUUUUAAACAGUUUAUAAUUUAGGAGAUAUUUGUAAUUACAAUUUUUGUUUUGCUAGUUAAUGAUGAAAAACUUGAUGAACUAGAAUAAGAUGAAAUAAAUACUUCAGUUUUAGUAGGUAAUUUUAUUUCAUUCUGUCUUGAUAUAUAUAUAAAGUUUUUUCGUGGUUUUAUGAUAGGUACACAAUUAUAAUUUUGUAUUGAUUGACUAUUUCGGUAUAUUUUCAUCUUAUUUAUUUUCUUUUAGUAGUGUCUUGUAACUAUAUUGAAUAAUAUACGUAUUUUUUACACAAUUUUUUUAACUCGUAUACUUACUAAAUUUUUUUAUUACUUUAAUUGGAUUUUUUCGUUUGUAUCGUUUGCCAUUUUUUUUAUACGUAUGAUUUUCUUUUUGAGAUUUAUUCUUUCCUUAAAUUUUUUUUAAAUAACUAAUUUUCUAUUACCUAACUAUUUUCAUUCAUCUGAUUACUCUUUAAAAAUAACUAGUAACUUUGUCUAUGGCUUCUUACAACAUUAAAUUUUGUUUACUAAAAAAAAAUUGUUUGUAGUAGUUCAAUUUAAUUAUAGGAACAAAAACUUUAAAAUUGAAUUUAUAUUUCAUUUACUAGUUGUCUUAUUCUUAAUGUCUCAUAUGUUGUCAUAAUUGUUUAAAAUAUUUUUAAAAAUUAAAGCAAGUAUCAAAUAUUGGAGAAUGUACGUUAUUUAUGUAAAUUAUUGUUACACUUUUUAAAUUGUGUUAUAUAAUCAUAGUAUUAUACAAUUUCCGGCUAUAGUUUCGCAAUAAAAGUGAGUACCUAAUAGUUGGUAUAUUCAGUUAUUUUGUUGAGUGAGCAUUAUCAAACGUCGAGACUAUUCUUAUCCUACUUAAUAUUUGGUUGCUAAAAUAAUUAGUUCUUUACAUUUAGUUUACUGUUUUAUUAAUUUAUUUGUAAUACAUCACUAUUAUUGCGCAACAACAUAAUAUUUAACUUAUCCAUUUUCGUAUGAAUACAAUUAAAAUAAAACCUUAUAAUAUUGCCUUACAAUUAGGUAGAUGCACAUGUGUACCUAUUUAUAUAAUUAAAUUGUAGUUCUAGAUUAUUAAAAUACAUUUGGAGAUUACUAAGACAUAGAAAUUCUAUAUGGGAAUAUUUUCUCUUAAUAUAUUUAUUUAAAAGUUCCAUAGUUUAGGUGUGAAGCAUUUGAUUUGUAUUUAUUUUUGAACUGUUAGAUGUGUCGAAUAGUUAAUGUGGUAAAGCGAAAGUAACCGCUAAAAAUAGUAAUAAUAGAAAUAAGUUAUAUUUUAUCUCGAGGUAAAUUAAAAAUUGAUUAUUUGAUUUACUAAAAUACUGCAUAAUUUAAUGAAAAUGUCUCGAGUAGUAGUCAAAAUUUGUAGGUAACUGGUACUUAUGUUAUUUUUAUUGAUGUUAAGAUUGUAGAAAAACAUGUUAUUAUAUACUGUAUUAGUUACUUAGCGUACCAUAUAGGUAUUUGUAAAAUAGUUAAGUAUACAUUUUUCUUUAGUUUAUUCAUUCUGUUCAUGUAAUUAUUAUCAUAAUAUGCUGUAAACAUAAUAAUGUUUGUAUUCAUAAUUCAUACAAUUUUACAUAGGUUUAUAUCAAAGAUUCUAAUCGGGUUGAUCGUUAAAAAU
Molecule: long non-coding RNA, 5349 nt
Organism: Adelges cooleyi (spruce gall adelgid)
Lineage: Eukaryota; Metazoa; Arthropoda; Insecta; Hemiptera; Adelgidae
Exons: 6
Source: RefSeq, a predicted model, not a curated record